This 481-nucleotide ribosomal RNA is filed under the name Bacillus thuringiensis. RNAcentral's name for it is "bacterial SSU rRNA". It matches the Rfam family "Bacterial small subunit ribosomal RNA", at positions 38 to 498 of the family's 1533-position model. The record is from RNAcentral. Lineage: Bacteria; Bacillati; Bacillota; Bacilli; Caryophanales; Bacillaceae.
GGCGGCGUGCCUAAUACAUGCAAGUCGAGCGAAUGGAUUAAGAGCUUGCUCUUAUGAAGUUAGCGGCGGACGGGUGAGUAACACGUGGGUAACCUGCCCAUAAGACUGGGAUAACUCCGGGAAACCGGGGCUAAUACCGGAUAACAUUUUGAACCGCAUGGUUCGAAAUUGAAAGGCGGCUUCGGCUGUCACUUAUGGAUGGACCCGCGUCGCAUUAGCUAGUUGGUGAGGUAACGGCUCACCAAGGCAACGAUGCGUAGCCGACCUGAGAGGGUGAUCGGCCACACUGGGACUGAGACACGGCCCAGACUCCUACGGGAGGCAGCAGUAGGGAAUCUUCCGCAAUGGACGAAAGUCUGACGGAGCAACGCCGCGUGAGUGAUGAAGGCUUUCGGGUCGUAAAACUCUGUUGUUAGGGAAGAACAAGUGCUAGUUGAAUAAGCUGGCACCUUGACGGUACCUAACCCGACAGCCCCCGGCU